Maylandia zebra (zebra mbuna) is the source of this 1794-nucleotide non-coding RNA. The record is from RefSeq and is a predicted model, not a curated record. NCBI's taxonomy places the organism in Eukaryota, Metazoa, Chordata, Actinopteri, Cichliformes, Cichlidae.
UUGGAUGUUUAUGGUCACAAUGAAGAAGAAGAUGAAAGCCUUCAUCUUCUUUCUUCUCCUGGGAAUACAGGGGGCAGCGGCAGUGACCCACUCGCUGAAGUAUUUCUACACUGCGUCCUCUCAAGUCCCAAACUUCACAGAGUUUGUGGUUGUUGGGAUGGUUGAUGAUAUUCAGAUUGAAUAUUAUGACAGCAACACGGAGAAACUGGUGCCCAAACAGGACUGGGUGGACGGUGCAGUAGAUCCACAGUUCCAAGAGUGGUUCAAAGCCAACAUUGAGAUUUUAAAGCAGUGCUUCAACCAAACUGGAGGUUUUCACAUUGUCCAGCGGAUGUGCGGCUGUGAAUGGGAUGAAGACACAGGUGAAGUGACUGGAUAUAUGCAGUUUGGUUAUGAUGGAGAGGACUUCAUAAUGUUUGACCUGAAGGAACAGACGUGGGUCACUAAAAAACAACAGGCUGUCAUGACAACAAUAAAGUGGGAUCAUGACAGUGCUCUGACUGCUCUGUAUAAGAAUUACUUCACCCAGGUUUGUCCUGAGUCACUGAAGAAGUAUGUGAACUAUGGGAGGAGCUCUCUGAUGAAAACAGAUCUCCCCAAAGUGUCUCUCCUCCAGAAGUCUUCCUCCUCUCCAGUCACCUGCCACGCUACAGGUUUCUAUCCUAACAGAGCUGAGAUGGUUUGGAGGAAAGAUGGAGAGGAGUUUCAUGAGGGGGUGAACAAAGGAGAGAUUCUCACCAACAAUGACGGGACCUUCCAGAUGAGUGUUGACCUGGAUGUCUCAUCAAUCACACCUGAAGACUGGGACAGAUACAGCUGUGUGUUUCAGCUCUCUGGUGUGAACGAGGACAUCGUCACCACACUGGACAAAGCAGUGAUCAAAACCAACAAGGGUAAAAGUGAUGAAGGAAAUUCCCUCACCACGAUCAUCCUGAUCAUCGUUGCAACGCUUGUUCUCGCAGUGAUUGCUGUAAUUGGUUUCAUUGUCUACAAAAAGAGAACAGUGUCCAAGACACCUGGUAAUUCUGCUGGAGAUAUUAUCUGUGACAACGAAGACAGACAAAGUUUGAAUGAGCCUGUGAGCUUCACCAAGGAAUCUUCAACACUGAACUUCUGAGAAAAAGUUUCUGCUGCAACAGAAGUUAACAAUUUUUCUUCACUGUUUUGAUGCAGUUCUUGUCACAGUCCUAGCCCGAUGGCCAGUCCAGCUGUGCUCUCAACUCAGCCACCAUCAUGCCCCUCCAGCUCAUCAGCUGGGAACGUACACCUGGACCAAACCAAACCGUGAAAUAAUGAGGGCGGGGCCAGAGGCUGACUGGAAUUAUUCUGUGUUGCCAAAAACAAAACAAAACUAAUGCUAGGAAACAAACACGUUUAUAAGUACUUUGUGAAGCAUUUUUUAUGGUUUCUUUUCUUUCUUUCUUUUUUUACGUACUAAUAGAAAGUUUUCAUCAUUUUCCCCCUUACAGGCGGCCCUCGCCACACAUAUUGAUUUAAAAUUAAUACCAAUCAAUCCACUGAGAAACUUAACGAGGUUUUAUCCACUGGACGGAUCCCAAACCACCACGAUUCAGUGAAGCUCGGCGAAAUCACAUUUGAUAUGUAUUCCUCAUCAGUUGCACAAAAACAAAUUUUAAAAUGUGUUCUGUGCCUUUAAAGACGCUGUAACCUCACCCCAGAGGCAAUCUGUACCAAACAGCUAACCCCAGAUUAAAAAUACAUAAAUAAAUUAUACAUUGUAUACCCAACAUAACUACACCUGUCAUAACAUCAAAAAUAAUAAUGACCAGAUGA